AUGCCGCGUGUGUGAAGAAGGCCUUAUGGUUGUAAAGCACUUUAAGCGAGGAGGAGGCUCCUGUAGUUAAUACCUACAGUGAGUGGACGUUACUCGCAGAAUAAGCACCGGCUAACUCUGUGCCAGCAGCCGCGGUAAUACAGAGGGUGCGAGCGUUAAUCGGAUUUACUGGGCGUAAAGCGUGCGUAGGCGGCUUUUUAAGUCGGAUGUGAAAUCCCCGAGCUUAACUUGGGAAUUGCAUUCGAUACUGGGAAGCUAGAGUAUGGGAGAGGAUGGUAGAAUUCCAGGUGUAGCGGUGAAAUGCGUAGAGAUCUGGAGGAAUACCGAUGGCGAAGGCAGCCAUCUGGCCUAAUACUGACGCUGAGGUACGAAAGCAUGGGGAGCAAACAGGAUUAGAUACCCUGGUAGUCCAUGCCGUAAACGAUGUCUACUAGCCGUUGGGGCCUUUGAGGCUUUAGUGGCGCAGCUAACGCGAUA
RNAcentral lists this ribosomal RNA (477 nucleotides) under uncultured Acinetobacter sp. Its description in RNAcentral is "bacterial SSU rRNA". It matches the Rfam family "Bacterial small subunit ribosomal RNA", at positions 394 to 862 of the family's 1533-position model. The record is from RNAcentral. Lineage: Bacteria; Pseudomonadati; Pseudomonadota; Gammaproteobacteria; Moraxellales; Moraxellaceae.